GGGCCGUUAGCUCAGCGGUAGAGCAGUGGACUUUUAAUCCAUUGGUCGAAGGUUCAAAUCCUUCACGGCCCA
This 72-nucleotide transfer RNA is filed under the name Dokdonella immobilis. Its description in RNAcentral is "Dokdonella sp. LM 2-5 tRNA". It matches the Rfam family "tRNA". Rfam says of the family: Transfer RNA (tRNA) molecules are approximately 80 nucleotides in length. The record is from Rfam by way of RNAcentral. Lineage: Bacteria; Pseudomonadati; Pseudomonadota; Gammaproteobacteria; Lysobacterales; Rhodanobacteraceae.